Molecule: ribosomal RNA, 596 nt
Filed under: Cystofilobasidium sp. CBS 10191
Lineage: Eukaryota; Fungi; Basidiomycota; Tremellomycetes; Cystofilobasidiales; Cystofilobasidiaceae
Description: eukaryotic LSU rRNA
Rfam family: Eukaryotic large subunit ribosomal RNA
Source: RNAcentral
AAACUAACAAGGAUUCCCCUAGUAACGGCGAGUGAAGCGGGAUGAGCUCAAAUUUAAAAUCUGGCAGUCUACGAUUGUCCGAAUUGUAAUCUCGAGAAGUGUUUUCCGCGUUGGCCUGUGUACAAGUCCCUUGGAACAGGGCGUCAUAGAGGGUGAGAAUCCCGUCCUUGACACAGACUCCCAAUGCUUUGUGAUACACUCUCAAUGAGUCGAGUUGUUUGGGAAUGCAGCUCAAAAUGGGUGGUAAAUUCCAUCUAAAGCUAAAUACUGGCGAGAGACCGAUAGCGAACAAGUACCGUGAGGGAAAGAUGAAAAGCACUUUGGAAAGAGAGUCAAACAGUACGUGAAAUUGUUGAAAGGGAAACGAUUGAAGUCAGUCGUGCCUGCCUAGAUUCAGCCUUCUGGUGUAUUUCUAGGUUGGCAGGUCAGCAUCAGUUUGGGAGGGUUAACAAGGGAGUUAGGAAUGUGGCAACCCCGGUUGUGUUAUAGCCUAGUUUCGCAUUGAUCCUGCCGGACUGAGGAACGCAGUGCGCCCGCAAGGGUAGGUCUUCGGAUACUUUCGCACUUAGGAUGCUGGCAUAAUGGCUUUAAACGAC